RNAcentral lists this long non-coding RNA (2105 nucleotides) under Equus caballus (horse). RNAcentral's name for it is "lncRNA (ENSECAG00000055728.1)". Lineage: Eukaryota; Metazoa; Chordata; Mammalia; Perissodactyla; Equidae. The record is from RNAcentral.
CUGCUGAGAUGUAUCACAACUUCUGGAGAGCUGCUCGUGAGUAAUGGGAUAUACAAAGUCAUCCGAAGCAGGCUCAAAGGGGAUCCUUAGCAAAUCCAAUCCCUUGGGCUGCCAUGUGGAGGAUGGAUCGAAGAGACCAAGGAUGUAAGCUGGAAGCCCAGACUCUGAAACCCAUUAAGGAAGAAACUGCAUCUGUCUUGCUCACCAUUGUUCACCUAGCAUAGCACCUGUCACAAGGCAUCCAUAAGGGGAAGAAGUGCCAUGAGAUUAAUCGGAGAUCUAAUCAUGGGUUUUUUCCUAGUUCUGGAGUCUACCUUCACUCUGACAUCUUUAUUUGUUGAAACAUCAUUUUGGGGAUCCAAGUAGAGCAGAAUUGAAAACUAGGGGAUUUCCACCAGCCUUCUGGCUCGAAGUUUCCCUUUUAAUUUUUCCCAUUGCCUAAGGAUGUCAGCUGUAUUACAGAUAACUGGUGACAGUGUUCUGGAGGGAAGACCGCACUGCUCCAUUUGAACACCUCGUCGACUCACUCACUGGUUUGAAAUAUGUCAACACUCAGAGAAUGAAAACAAGAGAUAUGAAAAUAAGUAACCACUCCUGGAGGGAUGUUCCCAACUCCUGCGCCAGAAUCCAUCGAAGAAGCGUUUGUCUCCAGCAAUAUUAAUGCGCCCCAUUUCCCGACUCUCUCACAUUUGAUUCAGUUCACCAAAUGUGUGAUGAAGACAGACAUGUGAAGAAUAGCUAUGGGACUGCUAAAAGGAGUAAAAAGUAUGACAAUCCAAGAGACAAACCCAAGUAGAAAGAAAUAAAUUACAACUAAAGGUGCAAACAAUAGACUGAAAUGGAACAGAACAAGGACUUCUAAUUGGGGGAGUUAAACAAGACUUCAUAUGUUGUGGACAUUUGUACCUCCAGGCUUUGAUUAGCACCCAUGUAGGCACAAACGAACAAACAUGCAGAAAUUCAGAGCUAAUGGACUGCAUCCACACUGAGUUAAAUCAGGCUAAAGAUUAAUGAAAAAUUCAGUCAUCCUGAGUCCUUUACUUGCUUACCAUCAACCAUCCAGAUGUUUGAUAUUUAAUCAAAGCAAUUGGAUAGUGGACGGAAUUUUACUUUUCAUUCAGUUAUUUGGAAUAGUCAAUAAUAUGCAGUUUGCCAAAUCUUGGGAGAAAAUUCUUUUGCCCUCCAAAUUUAUUUCCAAGUGGCAGGAGAGAAUUUGGAAGUAAUCAAGAGGUUGUUUGGGGAAAGUAAAGUAUAAGAUGGCCAAAUCUUCUUCGUUUCACAGAGAGUUACCUUGGGUAAAUUCGUUUAUGACAAGAUACUUUCACUACUUGAUAAGAUUCUUAUUUUUUCUUACUUUGCCGGAGGACCUCAUUGUUCUUGAACUUUUGAGAAAAGACAGUGUGUUAGCUUAAGAAGCAGAUUCUAAGAUGGGAUCAAAUGAACAAGGAUUUAAUUAGGGGAAACACCUGUGAGAGAAAAUGGGCAAGGAACUGGUAAGGUUGGGAGCACCAUCAGAUGGCAAAACCAUCUGCCCAAGCAAAGGGAGGGGGAAGGAAGGUUGGCUGAAAGCAUAUUAGACUGCUGUGCUGUCUAGGGAGGUUCAGCAAAGCCAAUGAGGAGGCCUGGGGCCAAAUUGGCUGUUGGAGGAGUGCCAUGUCUCCCAGGAAUGAGACUGCCUUAGUAUCCCCGUCACACCCAGAUUGUGGGGGCAGCUUGCGGGAAGUGAGGUCUGGGUGCAAAUGUGAUAGCGGACUUCAGACUGCAGCCUCUGGGUUAAUCACACUCCCUGGAGUUGGAAGUCUUUGGUGCAGUCUCAUGGCAGGGAGAAAUGGUAAUUUCAUUAGGAUAUAGAUUAGCUGUAAUAAGAGACCCCAGAAUACAGUGGCUUACGCAAGAUAGAAUUUUAUUUCUCUCUCAAAUUGGGAUUUCAGGCUGGAUAUUGGGGAGCCAGGCUCCUUCUAGCCUGUUGCUCUAUCAUCCUAGCACCUUACCCUUAUUCACAUAAUGGGCGGAGCACAAGAUGGCUCCCGGUGUCUGCAUUGCAGCCAACUGGAUAGAGGAGAGCAAGGAAGGGUGGCAAGCACCUUUCCCUUGAAGGACAUGAG